This 496-nucleotide ribosomal RNA is filed under the name uncultured bacterium. RNAcentral describes it as "partial 16S ribosomal RNA". It matches the Rfam family "Bacterial small subunit ribosomal RNA", at positions 28 to 507 of the family's 1533-position model. The record is from RNAcentral.
GAUGAACGCUGGCGGCGUGCCUAAUACAUGCAAGUCGAGCGAACAGACGAGGAGCUUGCUCCUCUGACGUUAGCGGCGGACGGGUGAGUAACACGUGGAUAACCUACCUAUAAGACUGGGAUAACUUCGGGAAACCGGAGCUAAUACCGGAUAAUAUAUUGAACCGCAUGGUUCAAUAGUGAAAGACGGUUUGCUGUCACUUAUAGAUUGAUCCGCGCCGCAUUAGCUAGUUGGUAAGGUAACGGCUUACCAAGGCAACGAUGCGUAGCCGACCUGAGAGGGUGAUCGGCCACACUGGAACUGAGACACGGUCCAGACUCCUACGGGAGGCAGCAGUAGGGAAUCUUCCGCAAUGGGCGAAAGCCUGACGGAGCAACGCCGCGUGAGUGAUGAAGGUCUUCGGAUCGUAAAACUCUGUUAUUAGGGAAGAACAAAUGUGUAAGUAACUAUGCACGUCUUGACGGUACCUAAUCAGAAAGCCACGGCUAACUACGUG